Molecule: ribosomal RNA, 253 nt
Filed under: uncultured bacterium
Lineage: Bacteria
Description: partial 16S ribosomal RNA
Rfam family: Bacterial small subunit ribosomal RNA
Source: RNAcentral
UACAGAGGUGGCAAGCGUUGUUCGGAAUUACUGGGCGUAAAGGGCGCGUAGGUGGCCAUCUAAGUCAGACGUGAAAUCCCCCGGCUUAACCUGGGAACUGCGUCUGAUACUGGACGGCUUGAGUAUGGGAGAGGAACGUAGAAUUCCAGGUGUAGCGGUGAAAUGCGUAGAUAUCAGGAGGAACACCGGUGGCGAAGGCGGGUCUCUGGGCCGAUAUUGACGCUGAGGAGCGAAAGCGUGGGGAGCGAACAGG